ACUUGAUUUUGUCCGAAAGAGUUGGCACUCCUGCUCCCCAGCCACACACUGAACGACGAAAAGUAGGAAGGCGUCGGUUUAACGGUUCUUUGGUUUGAACUGCGAAGAGCAUCUCCCAAGUUGUUGUCAUUAAUAUUUGCUUCCUUGCUAGUUUGAGCUUAACAGAAUGUGCCUGCAACGUUAAUAAAGUGUAGUGUCUUGUUUCGCAACUGAAGCGGCGUACUGCAGCAAGCAGCCCGCAGUCUCAGUAGGUAACGACGCUUAGCCUCCUAACCCCCCUAUCUAGGCACGAGUGUACUGUACUUCGCACUUCAGAGCUAACAAGAAAACUUCAUAUCCUCUGCUGUGGAUUUUUUUGUGGAUUGUUGUGCAUUGUCCGCACUUGGUAUUUCGUACUACAACUUCUAUUUUGCUGCUGCUCUACAAAUAAGGGUGAACCUAAUGUGGAAUCUCACAAAGUUAAGGCGGACUACUUAAACUACUCCAAUACAGUUAUCUACGACCACAUCUGCUGUGUGAGUACGUUCACUGAAUAUAGCCAGUUUGCUGCAACAAGAGUGUCGCAAUAUCUACGCAGUGAGGUUAAUUAAGACAAGGAACACAUUUGUAGCAGCAAAGUAGCAAUGUACAAUCGCCAAUAAUUGCUUCAAACACAAGCCAGCAAGAAGAGACAUAUUUUUAUUUCAUAGUUCCUUUUUUCUUUUGAGUGAUUUUUUGAAUAUUCUGACCUGCGAAUUCGAAGUUGGUUUUAUGAUCUUUGCAAUGCUUCAACAUUUUGCCCGCUUCUGUUAUUUAUUUUUGGUUUGUAUUAAAACUGCAGUGUCAAUUUAA
This is a long non-coding RNA of Frankliniella occidentalis (western flower thrips), 831 nucleotides long. RefSeq lists it as uncharacterized. The record is from RefSeq and is a predicted model, not a curated record. The transcript is spliced from 5 exons. Lineage: Eukaryota; Metazoa; Arthropoda; Insecta; Thysanoptera; Thripidae.